RNAcentral lists this small RNA (442 nucleotides) under Histoplasma ohiense. RNAcentral describes it as "hypothetical lncRNA". The record is from RNAcentral. Lineage: Eukaryota; Fungi; Ascomycota; Eurotiomycetes; Onygenales; Ajellomycetaceae.
GAUCUAUCCGCAUUUUGUCCCUGGCUCUCGACUUUUCGUCGUCAUGAUUUUCAAAAUGCCAUGUCCUCAUCCAAAACUGAAUGAUGAUUUCCAUUCCCAGUCGAUCAAUGCAAUGUAACCCCGCGAUGGAAUUCACACCAACCCUCUCAUGUUCCGGAGAAUGAUCACCCAUUGUUGGACGAGGUGGUUGGUUCUUCUAUUCCUUUUCCCGCCUUCUUUAUCAUACCACAUUUGCUUUUAACUCAUGAAUUAUGUCUUGUGUCAAAAUUGCUUGAUGAAGUCACCUAGCACACGUCACCCAAUCGUGCUUCUUCUGCGCGGAGACCAUCCGGCUAGACACUAUUGUGGGGAGCGGGUAGCCCCCGGAGACAAAGUUACCCGCGAGGAUCAGCAUCCUCGCUCACCAAAAAGGCUUUUCACAGGCCAGACCGCAAACAUGCCA